CCAGGAAAACCCACAUUUUACUGCUGAAUUGGAGCAAGUGGCAAUCUGCAGAAAACUCCAUUGCCAUUUGCUCCAAUUCAGCAGGAAAAUGUGGAUUUCCCC
Podarcis lilfordi (Lilford's wall lizard) is the source of this 102-nucleotide non-coding RNA. NCBI's taxonomy places the organism in Eukaryota, Metazoa, Chordata, Lepidosauria, Squamata, Lacertidae. The record is from the annotation of a GenBank genome assembly.